AGAAUCAACGCUGGCGGCGUGCCUAACACAUGCAAGUCGCACGAGAAAGGGGAGCAAUCCCUGAGUACAGUGGCGCACGGGUGAGUAACACGUGAAUCAUCUACCUCCGAGUGGGGAAUAACUGAGAGAAAUCUUAGCUAAUACCGCAUAACACUUACGAGUCAAAGCAGCAAUGCGCUUGGAGAGGAGUUCGCGGCAGAUUAGUUAGUUGGCGGGGUAAUGGCCCACCAAGACGAUGAUCUGUAUCCGGCCUGAGAGGGCGCACGGACACACUGGAACUGAAACACGGUCCAGACUCCUACGGGAGGCAGCAGUGGGGAAUUUUGCGCAAUGGGGAAACCCUGACGCAGCAACGCCGCGUGGAGGAUGAAGCCCCUUGGGUGUAAACUCCUUUCGAUCGGGAAGAUAAUGACGGUACCGAUAUAAGAAGCCCGGCUAACUUCGUGCCAGCAGCCGC
RNAcentral lists this ribosomal RNA (457 nucleotides) under uncultured bacterium. RNAcentral's name for it is "SSU rRNA". It matches the Rfam family "Bacterial small subunit ribosomal RNA", at positions 26 to 518 of the family's 1533-position model. The record is from RNAcentral.